UACGGGGGGGGUAAGCGUUGUUCGGAAUUACUGGGCGUAAAGGGCUCGUAGGUGGCCAACUAAGUCAGACGUGAAAUCCCUCGGCUUAACCGGGGAACUGCGUCUGAUACUGGAUGGCUUGAGUUUGGGAGAGGGAUGCGGAAUUCCAGGUGUAGCGGUGAAAUGCGUAGAUAUCUGGAGGAACACCGGUGGCGAAGGCGGCAUCCUGGACCAACACUGACACUGAUGAGCGAAAGCCGGGGGAGCAAACGGG
This 253-nucleotide ribosomal RNA is filed under the name uncultured bacterium. RNAcentral describes it as "partial 16S ribosomal RNA". It matches the Rfam family "Bacterial small subunit ribosomal RNA", at positions 524 to 776 of the family's 1533-position model. The record is from RNAcentral.